AUUGCCAUGUUUUUCUUCUCUGCUGUCUCUUAGAGGUCUGUUCAUCAUCGAUGAUAAAGGUGUCCUCCGGCAGAUCACCAUGAAUGAUCUUCCAGUGGGCCGCUCCGUUGACGAGACCCUCAGACUGGUGCAGGCCUUCCAGUACACUGACAAACACGGAGAAGUGUGUCCGGCUGGAUGGAAGCCUGGCAGUGACACGAUCAUCCCAGACCCCGCAGGCAAACUCAAGUACUUUGAUAAACUCAAAUGAGGUUAAUGUUUCACUGGAGGUUUUUGUUCGGGUUUGUUUCCAAAGUGCAGAAUAAAAGGAGAGUUUUGAUAAA
Molecule: long non-coding RNA, 323 nt
Organism: Rhinichthys klamathensis goyatoka
Lineage: Eukaryota; Metazoa; Chordata; Actinopteri; Cypriniformes; Leuciscidae
Exons: 3
Source: RefSeq, a predicted model, not a curated record